UUGAACCAGGCAUACAUACUUAAAGGUAGUCUCUAUGGGGAUUUUCAGUCAUCCAGGUCAUGGUUGUCCCAAAGGUGCUUUUUUCCAAGAGGCAACUGGACUUUCUGAUUUUUCUUUGAAGAGGUUUCACUUCUCACCCAAGAAGCUUCUUCAGCUCUUAAAGGCACCAGGUCUUAUUUUCGGGGAGGAUGUCAUCCACUGACUCACCUCACUUGCGCCUGUCGUCCCAGGCUUCCUUUUUGCUGUCAGAGAUGCUGAACCAAUAAUUUCAUACGAUGUCGGAUUUGAAUAAUUCUCAGCAGCGGAAAUUUCAACGCUUCAAACCCAAAUUGAGACAAGUUUCUGUCACAGAAAUACAUCACUAUUUCCUUACAUGCUCCAAUAAUCCAAGAUCGUUUGAGGCAGGCUAUUCCUGUUCAGUUAUCAAGCUCAAAUUAUUCUACUCCAGGCACAUUAUACAAAACUUAAUUGACUUAGAAGAUUUUAAUGCUGGGAAAGAUGGAAAGAAAGAGAGGUAGAAGACAACUACCAGCAGCAAGGUGGAUAGACUUCUAGUGGCAAUCAUUUUCAUCAUAGAGAAACUCUAUCUAUUUGGAUGCCAGGAGUCAAAAAUGACUUGAUUGCACAUAAUCAGUCAAUCAAUCAAUGAACCAACCAACCAACCAACCAAACAAACAAACAAACAAUUCCUGCUAAAUUCAUGUCUUAAGACAUACUAUUUUCUUUAAUAAAUGGAAAGUUUUCAGUUUCAUAAACAUUUCUAUGUUGUUCAUGUAUCUUAGAACAGGAUCUAAACUAUAUUAUUUUAUGAUAACUUAUGAUACAUAUAUGACUGAUCCCACAUUUCAGCUUAAAGUGGCAUGCACUUCUUUCCCUAAUUUUUGCACCUCACGGUAGAGUCGAUCUUGCAGUCAGAAUAGUACAUUAUAAUUCAUAAGAUUACACCACUGCUUCUCUAGAAGUCUCUGAACUUUAAAGUUGUAAUGGUUUUUAUCUUUUUAUUUUUCUAAGAUUAUUUUUUCUGGAAUAAAACCAGAAUUAUUUGAGUAAAAUUUAUUUUUUCUUCUCUAAGAGAAUCAAUCUGAUGGUUAUUUUGUUUCAGAUGCUAAACGUUGGUACUCUUGCUUUGCAAUUUUGAUGUUUAACCUUGACUUGACAGCAGGUUGUUCAGAACAUAGAGAUAUAUUUGAUAGUUUUAUAGUAAUAUCCUGAGAAGUAAUGUUGCGGUACUGUAUAAUUUAAAAUGGAAAAAGACAUGAAAUAUUAAAGUAAUAGGUCUGGUUAGAAAUAAUUUAAUUAGUAAAAUGGUGCUCAGAGCUUUUCAUUUUUAAAUAAUAGAACAGGCCUAGUCAUGCAGCAGAAUGGAGCAAUCUAGUUCACAUUGCCCGAAACAGGAAGGGAGGAAUAAAAGAAAGAAGGAAGGAAUUUAAAUGAACAAGACUGUUUAAUGUUAAUAGUGAUGACAGUUAGGAUGUCAUUUUCAAGUUUUAAAAAGUUUUGGGCCUCCACUGACAAUAAAAUAACGUCAAACUCUUGUCAGUCUUCCAAAUAGCCAUGCUGAGACGCAGGUUGGAGAAGGCUUAACUAUAAGCAAUUGAAUAUAGUGGUGUUUAAAAGUUUGUGAACCCUUUUUAAUUUUCAGUAUUUCUGCAUCAAUACAACUUAAAACAUGAUCUGUUCUCCACACAAGCCCUAUAUUUCGAUAAGGAGAACCCAAUUAAGUAAAUGAGUCAAAAACAUUAUACUUAUUCAUUGAUUUAUUUAGGAAAAUAAACCGAAACUACGUAUCCAUGUGUGGCAAAAAUAUGUGAACCUCCAGGAUUAUCAGUCCAUUUAAAAGAGAAAUUAAGAGUCAGGUAUUUUAAAAAGGGAUGCAGUGGCUCAGUGACUAAGAAGCUGAGUUUGUAGAUAGAAAGGUCGGCAGUUCAGUGGUUCGAAUCCCUAGUGCACGUAACGGGGAGAGCUCCCGUUACUUGUCCCA
Molecule: long non-coding RNA, 1981 nt
Organism: Ahaetulla prasina
Lineage: Eukaryota; Metazoa; Chordata; Lepidosauria; Squamata; Colubridae
Exons: 3
Source: RefSeq, a predicted model, not a curated record